CAAAUUAAAGCUUAAUAAAGCAUUUUAUUUACAUUAAAAAGAAUCUGUGAAAUUCAGAAUAGUUUGA
This 67-nucleotide transfer RNA is filed under the name Desmopachria sp. ITV9392. RNAcentral describes it as "tRNA-Val". RNAcentral also lists the same sequence under 1 other name. Lineage: Eukaryota; Metazoa; Arthropoda; Insecta; Coleoptera; Dytiscidae. The record is from RNAcentral.